ACCUGGCUGGCUCAGCAGGUAGAGCAUGUGACUCUUGAUCUCAGGGUCAUGAGUUCAAGCCCCAGGUCAGGUG
Molecule: transfer RNA, 73 nt
Filed under: Canis lupus familiaris (dog)
Lineage: Eukaryota; Metazoa; Chordata; Mammalia; Carnivora; Canidae
Also listed under: 1 other name
Rfam family: tRNA
About the family: Transfer RNA (tRNA) molecules are approximately 80 nucleotides in length. Their secondary structure includes four short double-helical elements and three loops (D, anti-codon, and T loops).
Source: Rfam by way of RNAcentral